This 234-nucleotide unclassified non-coding RNA is filed under the name Hevea brasiliensis (rubber tree). Lineage: Eukaryota; Viridiplantae; Streptophyta; Magnoliopsida; Malpighiales; Euphorbiaceae. The record is from RNAcentral.
AAUGAAGAAUGAAAUCCAUUUGUUUUGCCAUGAUGUUUAUGUUGGGAAGUAAUCUUUUUGCUUAUGGCAACUGAGGUGACAGCUUCAAUGAGUGUAGUGCAAGUGUGUAACAAAUUGUUGAAGUUAUUUAGUGAUGAAGUGACGAGCUUAAUUGAGCUGCAUAUCCUUGUGUUCUUGGCUGAAGGACUCUAAUGUUAAGCAUGUUGAUAUUCGGAAGACUUCUCCUCCCCUCCC